Molecule: ribosomal RNA, 757 nt
Filed under: Persicaria glacialis
Lineage: Eukaryota; Viridiplantae; Streptophyta; Magnoliopsida; Caryophyllales; Polygonaceae
Description: eukaryotic LSU rRNA
Rfam family: 5.8S ribosomal RNA (bases 294-449)
Source: RNAcentral
UCGUAACAAGGUUUCCGUCUAGGUGAACCUGCGGAAGGAUCAUUGUCGAAACCUGCACUAGCAGAAAGACCCGUGAACCCGUUUAAAAACACACGGGGGGCAGCGUUCGGCCCUAGGCCAGCGAUGCCCCUCGAGUCCUUGGAGAGCCCCCCUCCUCGCGAGUUGGGUUCUUCCAAGGCACAAACAAACCCCGGCGCGGAUUGCGCCAAGGACUAUGAACAAUAGCGCGUCCCACGUCACUCGGUUAGCCCGAAGUGUGCGUGGGGCGACGUGUCGUUUCGAUUUACUUGAACGACUCUCGGCAACGGAUAUCUCGGCUCUCGCAUCGAUGAAGAACGUAGCGAAAUGCGAUACUUGGUGUGAAUUGCAGAAUCCCGUGAACCAUCGAGUCUUUGAACGCAAGUUGCGCCCGAAGCCUUCGGGCCAAGGGCACGUCUGCCUGGGCGUCACGCACCGCGUCGCCCCCCACCCCCAUACAAUGGGAGUGUUGGGGCGGAUUCUGGCCCCCCGUGCGCUGCCCGCUCGCGGUCGGCCUAAACACAGACCCCGUGGCCGCGAAAUGCCGCGACGAUUGGUGGUGUCCUUGUGGCCUCGUGCCUCGAGCAUCGCGUCGCGCCUUUUGCGGCCCAUGGUAGGUCAAAGGACCCUGAAGGAGACCCCCAUCGGCGUCCAUCCAUCAAUGUGUGGACGACGAUGGGAUACCCUAACCGUUGCGACCCCAGGUCAGGCGGGACUACCCGCUGAGUUUAAGCUUUAA